Molecule: ribosomal RNA, 249 nt
Filed under: uncultured bacterium
Lineage: Bacteria
Description: partial 16S ribosomal RNA
Rfam family: Bacterial small subunit ribosomal RNA
Source: RNAcentral
GCAAGUCGAGUGGUAACAGGGUAGCAAUACUGCUGACGACCGGCGCACGGGUGCGUAACGCGUAUGCAACCUACCUUUAACUGGGGGAUAGCCCCGAGAAAUCGGGAUUAAUACCGCAUAACACUGUGAUAUGGCAUCAUAUUACAGUUAAAACUCCGGUGGUUAAAGAUGGGCAUGCGUGACAUUAGUUAGUUGGUGAGGUAACGGCUCACCAAGACUUCGAUGUCUAGGGGUUCUGAGAGGAUGAUC